CCCUUAGAUGUUCUGGGCUGCACGCGCGCUACACUGACACUUCCAACGAGUUCUUCCUUGUCCGGUAGGAUUGGGUAAUCUUUUGAAAGAGUGUCGUGAUAGGGAUAGAUUAUUGAAAUUAUUAAUCUUGAACGAGGAAUUCCUAGUAAACGCAGAUCGUCAAUCUGCAUUGAUUACGUCCCUGCCCUUUGUACACACCGCCCGUCGCACCUACCGAUUGGAUGGUCCGGUGAAGCCUCGGGAUUGUGGUUCUUGCCGCUUUAUUGUGGCGUGACCGCGAGAACUUGUCUAAACCUUAUCAUCUAGAGGAAGGUGAAGUCGUAACA
Molecule: ribosomal RNA, 326 nt
Filed under: uncultured eukaryote
Lineage: Eukaryota
Description: partial 18S ribosomal RNA
Rfam family: Eukaryotic small subunit ribosomal RNA
Source: RNAcentral